RNAcentral lists this ribosomal RNA (414 nucleotides) under uncultured eukaryote. RNAcentral describes it as "SSU rRNA". It matches the Rfam family "Eukaryotic small subunit ribosomal RNA", at positions 147 to 555 of the family's 1831-position model. The record is from RNAcentral.
CCGCGGCAACCCCAGAGCCAAUACACGCAAAAAGCUCCGACCGUAUGGGAAGAGCGCUUUUAUUAGACCAAAACCAAUGGGGUCGCAAGAUCCCUUCGUAUGGUGACUCUGGAUAACUUUGUGCUGAUCGCAUGGCCUAGAGCCGGCGACGUAUCUUUCAAGCGUCUGCCCUAUCAACUUUCGAUGGUAAGCGAUUUGCCUACCAUGGUUGUAACGGGUAACGGGGAAUCAGGGUUCGAUUCCGGAGAGGGAGCAUGAGAAACGGCUACCACAUCUACGGAAGGCAGCAGGCGCGCAAAUUACCCACUCCUAGAACGGGGAGGUAGUGACGAAAAAUAACAAUACCGGACUCAAUGAGGCUCGGUAAUUGAAAUGAGUACAGUUUAAAACCCUUAACGAGGAUCUAUUGGAGGG